RNAcentral lists this ribosomal RNA (206 nucleotides) under uncultured bacterium. RNAcentral's name for it is "partial 16S ribosomal RNA". It matches the Rfam family "Bacterial small subunit ribosomal RNA", at positions 568 to 774 of the family's 1533-position model. The record is from RNAcentral.
UGCGCAGGCGGUUAUGUAAGACAGGUGUGAAAUCCCCGGGCUUAACCUGGGAACUGCAUUUGUGACUGCAUAGCUAGAGUACGGUAGAGGGGGAUGGAAUUCCGCGUGUAGCAGUGAAAUGCGUAGAUAUGCGGAGGAACACCGAUGGCGAAGGCAAUCCCCUGGACCUGUACUGACGCUCAUGACAAAGACGUGGGGAGCAAACA